GCAGGGGGGAGGGGCGGAGGAAAGUUUGGUGCUGCUGCGGCUCCCGGAGGGAUAGUGUCACUAGGCCGGGAAUAAACCGGGAUUGGCAUUUGGGCUCUGCUCUGGUCGUCCCUUAAGUUAGGCGUGUUUUGUGCCAAAGACGGUCGAAGGGCGUUGGGAGCUGGCGGGGCAGCUUCCUGCAGCUCUGUGGGUGCGUGAGGUGAGGUGACCACCGUCACCCCGGGCGGUUUGGGAGGUGGUGCGAGGCCGCAUUCCAAACGUGCCUUCGGAAAAUUGCCAACUGGGUGCCGUGCCUUGAGCCAUAUACAGGAUUUCUCAGGGAGAAUCACAGGCAGAAUCACAGAACGACCUGUGAGGAAAGGCCUGGGAGAUCAUCGAGUCCAACCUUUGGCUGGAAACCACCAUGACAAUCACACCUGGCACAAAGUACUUCCUUAAACACCAAAGCACUCCUGUGGAGCUUGGAAAACCUUGUUUUGUUUUUAGCUGGCUUCUCUAGUCCCAAAAACCCCAUUAAUCUUUUUGUGAGAAAGAAAAAUUUUUUCAUAUCAAUUAGCAUUCAAUGGGGCUUUUUAUUAUCAGCUAAUUAAAUGUGUUUCACAUUCUCACAAAAUAAUACAAUCAAUAAAAUGUGCUUCAUUCCUGCUAAACAAAAGUGCAAGCACUUGCACUUGUACUAAACAUUAAACAUUAGUGCAAGUGUUAAGCAGUAAACCAGAUUAUGGGUUUGCAGAAGUCUUGGAGGUAACUGCUCUUUUCUAUUUAAUGUAGAUUUUCUUACUGUUUUCUCACUGUUCUUUGUACAGUUUCAAAAUUAAAAAAAAAAAGAAUGGUUUGCAGUUUCGCAUCUUGGUUUGUUUUCUUGUUUUCUAUUUUGUAUGAUGUUUUAUUUUUCUUUGACUAGCAUUUGUCAUUACGGGUUUAGUAGAGCUGUAGGGGGGAGUACUUGUGGAAUUUUGCUGUGAAGUGUGAAGGUUCCACUUGACUCGGCAGCUGCUGCGGUUUCACUGCCUCUUGUUGCAGGUGACCAAACCCACGGCAGAGCUGGCAUCUCCCCAUGUGCAAAGGGUGACGUCUUUGUUCAGCCCCCACCCUGCCCUGGCAUUAGCUGAGAUUGCACUCCAUUGGCUUUGACCUGAAACAAGGAUGUAACUUAGCAAAAGUUUUACUGACUAUUCCCUCCCACUGCCCUCCUCAAGGCAGCAAAUGGCACUUUAGAUAAAAGCCUUGUCACAGCAGGAGGAUUAAACCUUGCAAAGGACCUGGACAUUUGUAUGCUUGCUUCUGCUGAUUUCCCACCAGAGCUGCAGUCCAGAGCCCCGAGUGAGAUUUGAGGUCUGGGAGGGCAGGAGAGCCCUUGUCCAGUAUCACCUGACAGUCUCAUCUGGGUCUCUCCAAGAUCCAUUUCAGCUCUGCUGCUCUCAAGUUCUGCACAGUGUCUGAUAAAAGUUGCUGUGGGGAGCCUGUGUCGUCAGCUGGGCUUAUUGCCCAGAGCUGGUGGGUGUCCUGUCCUUGCAGGUGUUAUGUGUGGGUGGCUGGCCCUGGAAGUUGGCCUUCUUAGCAGAAACUACUUGUUCAAAACCCCAGGUUUGAGAUUUAUCUAGAAUAUAUAACUCAGUGUUUCCUUAUCAGCUUCAGGGAAUUGCAGUCACACAGGAAUUGAAUGAGGGGCAAUAAUUCUUUAAUUAUAAAUAUUUUAAUUAUUUUUGCAAUCCAGAUAAGUUACCUCGAUGUGUUGCCUCCUUUCAGCUCAAUGUUCAUAGAACUAACAAAUAGGAAAAAAGUAAAGUGUACACAUAGUUUUUCACUGACAGCAAUUGAGAAAUAUUUCAGAAUUCUCAGAUACAUUAUUUCUAAGCAUAAGCUCUAUCAGAGUUAAAUAAAGAUCCUUUGUAACUUAAAGCUCUAAGCAGAUACAAGAUUUUUCUUUUGUUCCAGUGAUAUUAUGAUUUGUGAAUGCAAUUGGUUUUUAUUCUAGGCUAUCAUGGAAAUAGGGAAGUUAUUGAAAUUCAUUCAGACUUCAAUAAAUUUUCUUUCUUGCCUAGAAAUUAUGACUUUUUGAUACAUGAUAAAUUGCACUAAACUGUUGGAUUUUAUGCAAACCCAGCUUUAUAGUUGGCCGCAGGAAGCAUUUUUAAACAGUAUGUGUAAAGUGCCAGUACUGAAAAUUUUCUUUUAAUUAACACAGCCUGAUAGUACAAAAGAUUUUAUUGUUUACCCAGCUUUAUAGUUAGCCACAGGAAGCAUUUUAAAUAGUAUCUGUAAGGUGCUAAUAUUCAAGAUUUUUUUUUAAUUAACACAGCUGAUAGUCAAGGUCUUAUUGUUUAAAUACACACACUGUUUGAGUUCAGGAACUGCUUGAUCAUUUUCACAUCUCAGCGUUCUCCUUUUCAGCUGCAGGGCACUGCCCAUGUGCUGAAAUGGCACUGUGAAGGCUAAAACCUUGAUGGUGUGUGUUAAAGAGAUAAGGAAGAACACGUACCUUUUGAAAGGGAGUGCCAGUUUCUUUAAACUAAGUGUUUGACUGAUAGCACUGUUUGCUUUUGGUAGCCUACUUAGUCCAGAUAGACUUUUCAGUGCUAAAUAAUCUUUUGAGCUCAGCCAAACCCAAGUUCUGAGUAAUUUGUUUAAUAAAAAAUGUGUGA
Oenanthe melanoleuca is the source of this 2645-nucleotide long non-coding RNA. RefSeq lists it as uncharacterized. The transcript has 3 exons. The record is from RefSeq and is a predicted model, not a curated record. Lineage: Eukaryota; Metazoa; Chordata; Aves; Passeriformes; Muscicapidae.